CAAACCAACCCAUGUACUAUGGCAGACCUCAGUCUAGGCCCAUAGCCCAUGGGAUGGUGCUGCCAACAUUCAGACUUGUUAUUGUCUCCAGUUAAAUCUGAAAAUGCCCUCGCACAGAUGCCCAGAGGGUCACCUCUGCUCUGCCCUCUGGCCACCAAAGAAUGAUAAGAGUGAUUUUAAAGGAAACUCCCUGAGAGAACAACAGCUUGUUUACCUGAAAUGGAAAAUUCUUUGGAACAAGACUGGCCCCUGCCCAUAGAUUCUAAACUGAUGAGGUCAAUCUACCUUUGAACCUGAACAAGAUCACUAGGACCUAAAUAGAACUGGAGUCCUUAGCCCUGGAGCUCCAUGGAAUAUCUUCAACAUUCCCCGGAUC
This is a long non-coding RNA of Mus musculus (house mouse), 376 nucleotides long. RefSeq annotates it as predicted gene, 39549. The transcript is spliced from 3 exons. Lineage: Eukaryota; Metazoa; Chordata; Mammalia; Rodentia; Muridae. The record is from RefSeq and is a predicted model, not a curated record.